CAGUAGCCACGGUAAAACAGAGGGCGCAAGCGUUAAUCGGAUUUACUGGGCGUAAAGCGUGCGUAGGUGGCUGUUUAAGUCGGAUGUGAAAGCCCUGGGCUUAACCUGGGAACUGCAUUCGAUACUGGAUAGCUAGAGAUCGGUAGAGGGCAGCGGAAUUCCGGGUGUAGCGGUGAAAUGCGUAGAUAUCCGGAGGAACACCGAUGGCGAAGGCAACUGCCUGGGCCUGAUCUGACACUGAGGCACGAAAGCGUGGGUAGCAAACAGGAUUAGAUACCCCCGUAGUCCCUGUCUCUUAUAC
This 301-nucleotide ribosomal RNA is filed under the name uncultured bacterium. RNAcentral describes it as "partial 16S ribosomal RNA". It matches the Rfam family "Bacterial small subunit ribosomal RNA", at positions 509 to 807 of the family's 1533-position model. The record is from RNAcentral.